UACAGAGGUCCCAAGCGUUGUUCGGAUUCACUGGGCGUAAAGGGCGCGUAGGUGGUGAGGCAAGUCGGAUGUGAAAGCUCGGAGCUCAACUCCGAAAUGGCAUUGGAAACUACCUUGCUCGAGGGUUGGAGGGGGGACUGGAAUACUUGGUGUAGCAGUGAAAUGCGUAGACAUCAAGUGGAACACCAGUGGCGAAGGCGAGUCCCUGGACAGCUCCUGACACUGAGGCACGAAAGCUAGGGGAGCAAACAGG
RNAcentral lists this ribosomal RNA (253 nucleotides) under uncultured bacterium. RNAcentral describes it as "partial 16S ribosomal RNA". It matches the Rfam family "Bacterial small subunit ribosomal RNA", at positions 524 to 776 of the family's 1533-position model. The record is from RNAcentral.